CCUAAUACAUGCAAGUCGAGCGGAAACGAUGGGAGCUUGCUCUCAGGCGUCGAGCGGCGGACGGGUGAGUAACGCGUAGGAAUCUACCCAGUAGCGGGGGAUAGCCCGAGGAAACUCGGAUUAAUACCGCAUACGCCCCACGGGGGAAAGGCCGGGAUCUUCGGACCGGUCACUAUUGGAGGAGCCUGCGUAGGAUUAGCUUGUUGGUGAGGUAAAGGCUCACCAAGGCUACGAUCCUUAGCUGGUCUGAGAGGACGAUCAGCCACACUGGAACUGAGACACGGUCCAGACUCCUACGGGAGGCAGCAGUAGGGAAUAUUGUGCAAUGGGCGAAAGCCUGACACAGCCAUGCCGCGUGUGUGAAGAAGGCCCUAGGGUUGUAAAGCACUUUCAGUAGGGAGGAAUUAGUAGGGUUAAUAACUCUGCGAAAUGACGUUACCUACAGAAGAAGCACCGGCAAACUCCGUGCCAGCAGCCGCGGUAAUACGGAGGGUGCGAACGUUAAUCGGAAUUACUGGCGUAAAGCGCGCGUAGGUGGUUUAUUAAGUGGGAUGUGAAAGCCCCGGCUUAACCUGGGAACUGCAUUCCAAACUGAUGAACUAGAGUACGAUAGAGGGGGGUAGAAUUCAUAGUGUAGCGGUGAAAUGCGUAGAUAUUCUGAGGAAUACCGGUGGCGAAGCGGGCCCUGGAUUGAUACUGACACUGAGUGCGAAAGCGUGSGGAGCAAACA
This 730-nucleotide ribosomal RNA is filed under the name uncultured Gammaproteobacteria bacterium. Its description in RNAcentral is "bacterial SSU rRNA". It matches the Rfam family "Bacterial small subunit ribosomal RNA", at positions 47 to 774 of the family's 1533-position model. The record is from RNAcentral. Lineage: Bacteria; Pseudomonadati; Pseudomonadota; Gammaproteobacteria.